AGAGUUUAGUCAUGGCUCAGGAUGAACGCUAGCGGCGGGCUUAAUACAUGCAAGUCGAGGGGUAACAGGUUUCUUCGGAAAUGCUGACGACCGGCGCACGGGUGCGUAACGCGUACACAACCUACCUUUAAGAAGGGGAUAGCCUUUGGAAACGAAGAUUAAUACCCUAUGUGAUUGUUUAGUUGCAUGACAUAAUAAUUAAAGUUCAGGCGCUUGAAGAUGGGUGUGCGUCCCAUUAGGUAGUUGGUGAGGUAACGGCUCACCAAGCCGACGAUGGGUAGCUGUUCUGAGAGGAAGAUCAGCCACACGGGCACUGAGACACGGGCCCGACUCCUACGGGAGGCAGCAGUAAGGAAUAUUGGUCAAUGGGGGCAACCCUGAACCAGCCACGCCGCGUGCAGGAUGACUGCCCUAUGGGUUGUAAACUGCUUUUAUAUAGGAAGAACGGCAUUUAUUUAUGAGUGUGUGACGGUACUAUAUGAAUAAGCACCGGCUAACUCCGUGCCAGCAGCCGCGGUAAUACGGAGGGUGCAAGCGUUAUCCGGAAUCACUGGGUUUAAAGGGUCCGCAGGCGGGCUUAUAAGUCAGUGGUGAAAGUCUAAAGCUUAACUUUAGAACUGCCAUUGAUACUGUAAGUCUUGAGU
RNAcentral lists this ribosomal RNA (644 nucleotides) under uncultured Bacteroidota bacterium. Its description in RNAcentral is "bacterial SSU rRNA". It matches the Rfam family "Bacterial small subunit ribosomal RNA", at positions 8 to 647 of the family's 1533-position model. The record is from RNAcentral. Lineage: Bacteria; Pseudomonadati; Bacteroidota.